GCCACUUCUAUAACAUCAAUAGUGAAAACAUAAAGUCAAGCUAUAGCCCCCAAUUAUGGCCAAUGAUACUACUGUAGCGCCACUUCUAACAUCAAGAGAGAACAAUCACGAAAAUGAUGAGCUCCAAAGCCCAAAAUUCAGACCAUUUUCACAUGGUUCGUCGUCUAAUAAUUCAGAUGAUAUCAAAGAAAUCGACGGAGUUAAAGACUUAGUUCGAGAAUUUUCCGCAGAAUCGAAGAAACUAUGGAACCUUGCUGCUCCAGCCAUUUUCACUUCCCUUUGCCAAUACUCAAUUGGUGCCAUAACUCAAGUAUUUGCUGGUCAUGUUGGUACCAUUCAACUAGCUGCUAUCUCUAUUGAAAACUCUGUCAUCGCUGGUUUUUCUUUUGGCGUAAUGUUGGGAAUGGGAAGUGCACUGGAGACAUUAUGCGGACAAGCAUAUGGAGCAAAGCAAUUAGAAAUGCUCGGAACUUAUAUGCAACGAUCUUGGAUAAUCCUCACCUCUACCGCUUUAAUUCUACUGUUCCCUUAUAUUUUUGCCACGCAACUACUCAGAUUCAUCGGUCAGACUUCCAAUAUAUCAAAGUGGGCAGGUACAUUUGCCAUAUGGAUGAUUCCACAAUUAUUUGCGUAUGCACUAAACUUUCCGAUUCAAAAAUUCUUGCAAGCUCAGAGCAAGAUUAUGGUGACAGCUGUUAUAGCGGGGUUUGCUCUUGCCGGACACACUUUGUUUAGUUGGCUUUUGAUGCUCAAGUUAAGGUGGGGACUUGUGGGUGCGGCGGUGGUGCUGAACAGUUCAUGGUGGUUCUUAGUGGUGGCUAAGUUGGUGUAUAUAUUUAAUGGGGCUUGUGGAGAAGCUUGGUCUGGAUUUUCUAUGAAGGCUUUUCAAAAUCUUUGGGAAUUUGUUAAACUAUCUUUUGCAUCUGCUGUAAUGCUCUGCUUAGAGAUAUGGUACUUCAUGGCAUUAAUUCUUUUUGCUGGAUACCUCAAGAAUGCUGAAGUGGCCGUGGAUGCAAUUUCUA
This 1022-nucleotide unclassified non-coding RNA is filed under the name Hevea brasiliensis (rubber tree). Lineage: Eukaryota; Viridiplantae; Streptophyta; Magnoliopsida; Malpighiales; Euphorbiaceae. The record is from RNAcentral.